Molecule: long non-coding RNA, 469 nt
Organism: Entelurus aequoreus (snake pipefish)
Lineage: Eukaryota; Metazoa; Chordata; Actinopteri; Syngnathiformes; Syngnathidae
Exons: 4
Source: RefSeq, a predicted model, not a curated record
UGGCGACACAGUAAUGUUGCUUUACGGCUGUCGCAAAGGUCACCUCGCCAGCAGUACAAAUGACAAACAUCCUAAUUAAGAUGUGGAAAGAUCAGCUUUGGUGGAUGUGGCCAUCUUGAUUUACGAAUUUUUAACUGGAACCCUCGGCUGUGACGUCGUUCUCGACUCUGACUUCAAACUUUCCGAGUUUUGAAAAUUCCGCAAAACGUCACCGUCUGUGUAGCUGAUUGGAGAGCUAGCUUCGGCAGCCAGUGGGUCCAUGACGAUGACUUCUGUUUUGUUGGAUCAGCCGUUUUACUGCCGUGUGACAGGCACCGUUUGGAAACAAUUAAGGCUGGGUCUCCACAGAUAGGCUAAGCUGAAAAUGCAGACACCAGAAAUGAGGAAGACCAGAGCCAGGAUCAGAGCCACGCGCUGGUAGACCUGGUACUUGGCAGUCUUCUCUUUAGAACCCUCCACCUGCAAAAGG